This 119-nucleotide ribosomal RNA is filed under the name Pteropus alecto (black flying fox). Lineage: Eukaryota; Metazoa; Chordata; Mammalia; Chiroptera; Pteropodidae. The record is from RNAcentral.
GUCUAUGGCCAUGCUACCCUGAACACACCCGAUCUCAUCUGAUCUCGGAAGCUAAGCAGGGUUGGGCCUGGUUAGUACUUGGAUAGGAGACCACCUAGGGAGACCAGGUGCUGUAGGCA